UGCCCCCGCCCGCCGUGGGAUGCGGAGCGGCAAUGGAGCUGAGAGAGAGGUUUUACUUUUCAAACCCUGCCUGUUAUUCGCAGAAUCCAGUGCUGAAGUACUGAAGAGAUCUGGGUGGAGCAGUGCUUUGGUUCUCCAGAGAUACAGCUUCCCUCUGUGGAUGAAUAGAGGCAGACCUUGGCUUCUUGAGCAGCUACCUGUGAGAUCUGGCAAGGCCUACUGUGAAGGUGCUUGGUUCAUUCUGAGCAGGAAGAGCUCUGGAAUAAAUCGGAGGGACUAAGGGGGCCUUCCUGAAACAAGCCCCGGGAAGGGAUGGAAGAAGCGUAAAUACAACGCUUCGCUGUGAGAGAAUACAUAAGAAUGUGGAUUAACAAAGGCACGAGAGCUCGCAACAAGCAACACGUAACAGUUUCCAUCGGGAAGUUUCCCCUUGAGGCGUUCUGCAGAGCCCUCCCGCACUGCGCAGCAGCAUGCUGCCAUCUCCUGGCAAAACGUGAGCUUGGCACUCCAGUACCAGCCCCUGUUACCAGAUCGAUUUCCUGACGUUUGGUUUAAAUUGGUGCGCUGUAGAAAAACACGUUCUUUCAAGCGGAGGGGAAAGAAAAGUCAAGAGAAAGGCAUACUUGAUUGGAGUAAAAAACUGCAAUGAGAAUGAGUGAAAUAAGUGCUAUGAAUCACAACGGUGCCCAAGUCAGCAUGUGAUAUGCAAAACACAAUUCUUACAUUAGAGAGGAAAUGCAGGGGGGGGGGAAAUCCUUAUGACUAAGUUUCAUCUCUUUGCUGACGUGCCGAG
Molecule: long non-coding RNA, 793 nt
Filed under: Numida meleagris (helmeted guineafowl)
Lineage: Eukaryota; Metazoa; Chordata; Aves; Galliformes; Numididae
Description: lncRNA (ENSNMEG00000000352.1)
Source: RNAcentral